This 458-nucleotide ribosomal RNA is filed under the name uncultured Streptococcus sp. RNAcentral's name for it is "bacterial SSU rRNA". It matches the Rfam family "Bacterial small subunit ribosomal RNA", at positions 923 to 1382 of the family's 1533-position model. Lineage: Bacteria; Bacillati; Bacillota; Bacilli; Lactobacillales; Streptococcaceae. The record is from RNAcentral.
GCACAAGCGGUGGAGCAUUGUGGUUUAAUCGAAGACAACGCGAAGAACCUUACCAGGUCUUGACAUCCCGAUGCUAUUUCUAGAGAUAGAAAGUUACUUCGGUACAUCGGUGACAGGUGGUGCAUGGUUGUCGUCAGCUCGUGUCGUGAGAUGUUGGGUUAAGUCCCGCAACGAGCGCAACCCCUAUUGUUAGUUGCCAUCAUUCAGUUGGGCACUCUAGCGAGACUGCCGGUAAUAAACCGGAGGAAGGUGGGAUGACGUCAAAUCAUCAUGCCCCUUAUGACCUGGGCUACACACGUGCUACAAUGGUUGGUACAACGAGUUGCGAGUCGGUGACGGCGAGCUAAUCUCUUAAAGCCAAUCUCAGUUCGGAUUGUAGGCUGCAACUCGCCUACAUGAAGUCGGAAUCGCUAGUAAUCGCGGAUCAGCACGCCGCGGUGAAUACGUUCCCGGGCCUU